RNAcentral lists this small nuclear RNA (107 nucleotides) under Merops nubicus (carmine bee-eater). Lineage: Eukaryota; Metazoa; Chordata; Aves; Coraciiformes; Meropidae. The record is from RNAcentral.
GCGCUCUCUUUGGCAGCACAUGUGCUAGAACUGGAAUGAUACAGAGAAGAUGAUCAUGGCCCCUGUGCAAGGAUGACCCACAAAUUCGUGAAGUGUUCCAUAAAGUG